Molecule: ribosomal RNA, 415 nt
Filed under: uncultured bacterium
Lineage: Bacteria
Description: bacterial SSU rRNA
Rfam family: Bacterial small subunit ribosomal RNA
Source: RNAcentral
UGAGGAAUAUUGGUCAAUGGGCGGAAGCCUGAACCAGCCAUCCCGCGUGAAGGAAGAAGGCCUUAUGGGUUGUAAACUUCUUUUCUGUUUGAAGAAUAAGCUUGUCGAGACAAGUGAUGCCGGUAGGACAGGAAUAAGCAUCGGCUAACUCCGUGCCAGCAGCCGCGGUAAUACGGAGGAUGCAAGCGUUAUCCGGAUUUAUUGGGUUUAAAGGGUGCGCAGGUGGUUUAAUAAGUCAGUGGUGAAAGUCUGCCGCUUAACGGUAGGAUUGCCAUUGAUACUGUUGGACUUGAAUAUGGAUGAGGUAGGCGGAAUGUGUAGUGUAGCGGUGAAAUGCUUAGAUAUUACACAGAACACCGAUUGCGAAGGCAGCUUACUAAUCCAUGAUUGACGCUGAGGCACGAAAGCGUGGGGA